This 468-nucleotide ribosomal RNA is filed under the name uncultured bacterium. Its description in RNAcentral is "partial 16S ribosomal RNA". It matches the Rfam family "Bacterial small subunit ribosomal RNA", at positions 28 to 507 of the family's 1533-position model. The record is from RNAcentral.
GACGAACGCUGGCGGCGUGCUUAACACAUGCAAGUCGAACGGAAAGGCCCUGCUUUUGUGGGGUGCUCGAGUGGCGAACGGGUGAGUAACACGUGAGUAACCUGCCCUUGACUUUGGGAUAACUUCAGGAAACUGGGGCUAAUACCGGAUAGGAGCUCCUGCUGCAUGGUGGGGGUUGGAAAGUUUCGGCGGUUGGGGAUGGACUCGCGGCUUAUCAGCUUGUUGGUGGGGUAGUGGCUUACCAAGGCUUUGACGGGUAGCCGGCAUGGGAGGGGGACCGGGCACAUUGGGACUGAGAUACGGCGCAGACGCCUACGGGAGGCAGCAGUGGGGAAUAUGGCACAAUGGGCGGAAGCCUGAUGCAGCAACGCCGCGUGCGGGAUGACGGCCUUCGGGUUGUAAACCGCUUUCGCCUGUGACGAAGCGUGAGUGACGGUAAUGGGUAAAGAAGCACCGGCUAACUACGUG